GAUGUGCGUUUCCGUCUGGCUGCUGGUACAGACUGUGGAGGGAGGGCUGCCCAAAUUUCAGUCUGUCGACGGACCGCGAUGAAGUUACACGUUUUUCCGGCAAAGCCGCGUCGUUCCAAUCGUCGAAUCAAACAGCGUCGUUCGCGGGUCAAUUUGUGCAGCUGCUGCUACUCUGUUGAUAGUCCGGGCCGUCGUCGCCGCAGCAGCAGCAUCCCACCAUCGUUACCAAUCGAUAGGAAAUUCGAUUUCAAUUCGAUCGUAAAGCGUCGCGGCGUGUUUUCGUCGGUUGUCGCCGUGCGGGAGGCUAGACGUAGUCGUCGUCGUCAUCGUCGUCGGGAUGUCCGCGGGGCAGAUUACCACUGGGAUACACUUUCCUAAAACGCCGACAAAAGUUUUCGCAACGCAACACAUAUCGGAACUCUAAAACCUGCCAUAUCGGAAAAAGUUUUCCACUGUUUUUCCUCCCGGGAAAACUGAAGAAUUCCCACAUAUCAAAGAGUAUCAUCUAUCGGUCGUCUUCGCUAUCGCCGCACACUUGUGGUGGUAUGAGCGUCUGCCGGGACUGAAGAACAAGUUGUCCUUAAAGUGGAAGACUGCUCCUCCUCUUGCGGGGAGUGAAGUUUGUCUCAAGUUGAAGUUUUCCUCCCACCCCUUCCUUCGCCCCCUGUAGGGGAAAAGUGUGUAUCAAUAGCAAAUUGAGAACUAUUCAUGUUCGUGAAUGCGUGCGGUGUGCUAGUGUUUCCGACUAUUUUUAUGCUCGUCCAACGCUCGGAAGUGAAUGGCAUGUUGAAACCGAGGUAGGAAAUAUGAAACCAAAUUAGACCGUUAGUUCUUACGAGCGGUAGGCACGCGGAAGUGUUUUGGUUUCCAAGUGUGUCCUUCGGUCCGUGUCGUUGGUAGACAGACAGGCGGCUGAUGACGGCUACUGCCGUCCGACACAAGGAUACAGGUCAAUAGUUCAGUGCAACAACAACAACAAUAACAGUAGUAAACUGCAGACGGCAGCUGGGAUUUAGCAUUAUGCUAUGCUACGUUAUGUGCCAGUCGAAAUAUUAUUGAAUUACUGGAGAUCCGGACCCAAAUCGCGGGAAAUGUGCUGAGCAAACAUACACGUGACCUGAAUCAAUCGGCGACGCCUGGUGCUUCCAGUGUGUGCAUGUAAACAAAUACCCACCCGGAAUCAGCACGAAGCAAUCCGGUGGGGGUGUACUUACCAACAAACACCGGACGGUUAAGUGAAGUGAAGUGUUUUCUUUUUGCUUCUCGGAAACAACGCAGGGAUUACGCCGUACGGAUGAAUGCUCGGGAAAACUGAGGGGGGAAAGUGAAGUGGCGGUAAUAAAUCAAUUUCCACACCGAUGCGGAAUGGAGUGGCACUUGGAGAAUCGAAACAGCUGAUUUCGUGAUAAAUAAUAUCCACCAUCAACCGUAUAAACAAAACAAAAACCACCCCAUGAUAAAAGUCACAAAAGCAACCAACUGACCCAAGCAAAACCGUUCUCAUUCACCCACGAAAAAUUGUCGUGAAACGGAACGAAAAGGUCAUCAGUUUGUCAUCGUCGACAGUUUUUUCCAACGACGCCGAAAUGAGUCAGUGAAGCAUGCAGCCGAAAAUAACACCCGAAAAAAAAUUAGGAACGUGACCAAAAUUUGAUACACUCCGAAGAACGGUGCAACAA
Molecule: long non-coding RNA, 1679 nt
Organism: Ochlerotatus camptorhynchus
Lineage: Eukaryota; Metazoa; Arthropoda; Insecta; Diptera; Culicidae
Exons: 2
Source: RefSeq, a predicted model, not a curated record